This 571-nucleotide ribosomal RNA is filed under the name uncultured bacterium. Its description in RNAcentral is "partial 16S ribosomal RNA". It matches the Rfam family "Bacterial small subunit ribosomal RNA", at positions 355 to 918 of the family's 1533-position model. The record is from RNAcentral.
UGGGGAAUUUUGGACAAUGGGCGAAAGCCUGAUCCAGCAAUGCCGCGUGUGUGAAGAAGGCCUUCGGGUUGUAAAGCACUUUUGUCCGGAAAGAAAUCCUUGGCUCUAAUACAGUCGGGGGAUGACGGUACCGGAAGAAUAAGCACCGGCUAACUACGUGCCAGCAGCCGCGGUAAUACGUAGGGUGCAAGCGUUAAUCGGAAUUACUGGGCGUAAAGCGUGCGCAGGCGGUUGCUAAGACCGAUGUGAAAUCCCCGGGCUCAACCUGGGAACUGCAUUGGUGACUGGCAGGCUAGAGUAUGGCAGGAGGGGGGUAGAAUUCCACGUGUAGCAGUGAAAUGCGUAGAGAUGUGGAGGAAUACCGAUGGCGAAGGCAGCCCCCUGGGCCAAUACUGACGCUCAUGCACGAAAGCGUGGGGAGCAAAACAGGAUUAGAUACCCUGGUAGUCCACGCCCUAAACGAUGUCAACUAGUUGUUGGGGAUUCAUUUCCUUAGUAACGUAGCUAACGCGUGAAGUUGACCGCCUGGGGAGUACGGUCGCAAGAUUAAAACUUAAAUGAAUUGACGGGG